This 253-nucleotide ribosomal RNA is filed under the name uncultured bacterium. RNAcentral's name for it is "partial 16S ribosomal RNA". It matches the Rfam family "Bacterial small subunit ribosomal RNA", at positions 524 to 776 of the family's 1533-position model. The record is from RNAcentral.
UACGGAGGGUGCAAGCGUUAUUCGGAAUUACUGGGCGUAAAGCGCGUGUAGGCGGGAAGGUAAGUCUGAUGUGAAAGCCCUGGGCUCAACCUGGGAAGUGCAUUGGAUACUGCUUUUCUUGAGUUCUGGAGAGGAUGGGGGAAUUCCCGGUGUAGAGGUGAAAUUCGUAGAGAUCGGGAGGAAUAUCAGUGGCGAAGGCGCCCAUCUGGACGGCAACUGACGCUGAGACGCGAAAGCGUGGGGAGCAAACAGG